This 618-nucleotide long non-coding RNA is filed under the name Gallus gallus (chicken). Lineage: Eukaryota; Metazoa; Chordata; Aves; Galliformes; Phasianidae. The record is from RNAcentral.
UCAGCCGGGAAGCAAACAGCCAAGAAGCAGCCAGAAACCUUUUCUUAAAACCCUUCUCAGCUGUUAUCUGCUGUUUGACCCACACUCAGAUCCCCUCUGAGCUACAGGGUCUCUGGGAGGGCUCCAAAAGCAAGUAAAAGGGGCUUGGGGCUUUGUACAAGGGUAAAAGUGUGGACUUUAUGUAGGCGUAACCUCCAUCAGCCUGAAGCACUGCAAAGAGCCCUACCCCCUAUUAUGUGAAUUAGUUGGAGAGUAAACCAGCAGAGCAAGAGGUUUGUGUUUCAUUGCUGGUUCUGCCACUGCCCGACGUGGUGAAGAUGCAUGAAGUAGAAGGAAAGACAGAUGGAUCUUCUCCAACUGAGAGGGUUAUUGCUCACCAAACACGUUUCCACCAGAGAGACAUUUAUGUUUUCUGGCUGAGAGUUAGAAGCAACCAUAAAUACAUGGUAAGCCAGUCACUGCUGUUCAGCAACGCUUCUGUUAAUUUGCAUAGGGCCUAUCUAAUGAUGUUGGCCUAUAAAACACAAAGAUUACAUCUCCUGAAUCACUCUCUGUUCUGAAAAUGACUCAUAGUUCCAAAAGAUUGGUUUAAACUUAAACAAAAGCGAGAAGGUGCAA